AUGUCGACCCACACACACACUGCAAGUCGACCCACACACACACUGCAAGUCGACACACACACACACACUGCAAGUCGACCCACACACACACUGCAAGUCGACCCACACCCACACUGCAAGUCGACCCACACACACACUGCAAGUCGACCCACACACACACUGCAAGUCGACACACACAGCAAGUCGACCCACACACACACUGCAAGUCGACACACACACACACACACUGCAAGUCGACACACACACACUGCAGGUCGACACACACACACACACACACACUGCAAGUUGACACACACACACUGCAGGUCGACACACACACUGCAAGUCGACCCACACACACUGCAAGUCGACCCACACACACACUGCAAGUCGACCCACACACACACUGCAAGUCGACCCACACACACACUGCAAGUCGACCCACACACACACUGCAAGUCGACCCACACACACACUGCAAGUCGACACACACACACACACACUGCAGGUCGACACACACACACUGCAGUCGACACACACACACACUACAAGUCGACACACACUGCAGGUCGACACACACACACACACUGCAAGUCGACCCACACACACACUGCAAGUCGACACACACACUGCAAGUCGACCCACACACACACUGCAAGUCGACCCACACCCACACUGCAAGUCGACCCACACACACACUGCAAGUCGACACACACACAGCAAGUCGACCCACACACACACUGCAAGUCGACACACACACACUGCAUGUCGACCCACACACACACUGCAAGUCGACCCACACACACACUGCAAGUCGACCCACACACACACUGCAAGUCGACACACACACACACUGCAAGUCGACCCACACACACACUGCAAGUCGACCCACACACACACUGCAAGUCGACCCACACACACACUGCAAGUCGACCCACACACACACUGCAAGUCGACACACACACACUGCAAGUCAACACACACACACACACACUGCAAGUCGACACACACACACACACACUGCAAGUCGACACACACACACACACACACACACACUGCAAGUCGACACACACACACACACACACACACACACACUGCAAGUCGACACACACACACACACUGCAAGUCGACACACACACACACACUGCAAGUCGACACACACACACACACACUGCAAGUCGACACACACACACUGCAAGUCGACACACACACACUGCAAGUCGACACACACACACUGCAAGUCGACACACACACACACUGCAAGUCGACACACACACACACUGCAAGUCGACACAAAAUGUCAGAAAAUGUGACUGUAAGUGUUGA
This 1305-nucleotide long non-coding RNA is filed under the name Oncorhynchus kisutch (coho salmon). RNAcentral describes it as "lncRNA (ENSOKIG00005005898.1)". Lineage: Eukaryota; Metazoa; Chordata; Actinopteri; Salmoniformes; Salmonidae. The record is from RNAcentral.